CAUGUAUCACGAACCAGCGGGUCUGUAGGACCCGCAAUAACCCUUCUAAGGAAGGUCUGGUACGGAAUGUUCGAAUCCUGAAGCCAGGCCCACUUACUCAGGCGUCUACAUGUCGACGACACUUCUUGCUAGCAGGACGUCUUCAUUGUCGGACCCUCUGUUCCAUUUCUUAUACCACACGUGGGAGGAACGAAUGCCUGCGACGGGUCGGACCGUCCCCCACUCCUCCUUUCUUGCUUCUCGGAACACUGUGAUGUCGCUCGACGGAAUUUCCAGCACGGAACCGCCAACACCAUCGCAAGCAUUUUUGCCGUGACCACUAGCAGAAUACAACCAUUUCACUAGCAGCCUGUUCUUCGUUAUCUCGUACAGCUGAUACCUAUUCUUGAAGUGCGCAGCUGCACCGUCUGAGAUGCAGAUGAGAUGCGUGAACACAGGUAGGAUUUCUUCCAGGGCCUCAACUAUCCUGUCCAGGGCUAGAAGUAUGUGCGCCGUGUCAUGGGACAUGUCGUCGCUCACCGUUGCGAAGCUCGUUGUCAACACAGGUAUUGUUGCCACGCAAGUGAAUAAAGAAAUUCGAUCUGUUUUCCA
Molecule: long non-coding RNA, 591 nt
Organism: Ornithodoros turicata
Lineage: Eukaryota; Metazoa; Arthropoda; Arachnida; Ixodida; Argasidae
Exons: 2
Source: RefSeq, a predicted model, not a curated record